RNAcentral lists this unclassified non-coding RNA (209 nucleotides) under Hevea brasiliensis (rubber tree). The record is from RNAcentral. Lineage: Eukaryota; Viridiplantae; Streptophyta; Magnoliopsida; Malpighiales; Euphorbiaceae.
AAUUAAUGAACUUCUUGUAUUAGGAUAUAGAUACUAAAUUUUGAAUAAAUACCCAGAUGAGUAAUCUUGCUUAAAUAACAUUACUAAUUAAGAAAACACAUCCUUACUAAUUAAGAAAACAUACACAUCAAUUGUUGUGUCAUGUAACUAUAUAAUUUUGUUUGUGAGUGGCUAAUUUUGGGACCUUAAGAAGACUAUGAUUACUUGGG